UCCGUAGGGGGCAAGCGUUGUCCGGAAUCAUUGGGCGUAAAGAGCGUGUAGGCGGCCCGAUAAGUCCGCUGUGAAAGUCCAGGGCUCAACCCUGGAAUGCCAGUGGAAACUGUCGGGCUAGAGUCCGGAAGAGGCGAGUGGAAUUCCUGGUGUAGCGGUGAAAUGCGCAGAUAUCAGGAGGAACACCGAUGGCGAAGGCAGCUCGCUGGGACGGUACUGACGCUGAGACGCGAAAGCGUGGGGAGCAAACAGG
This 253-nucleotide ribosomal RNA is filed under the name uncultured bacterium. RNAcentral's name for it is "partial 16S ribosomal RNA". It matches the Rfam family "Bacterial small subunit ribosomal RNA", at positions 524 to 776 of the family's 1533-position model. The record is from RNAcentral.